This 427-nucleotide ribosomal RNA is filed under the name uncultured bacterium. Its description in RNAcentral is "bacterial LSU rRNA". It matches the Rfam family "Bacterial large subunit ribosomal RNA", at positions 510 to 925 of the family's 2925-position model. The record is from RNAcentral.
AAAGGUGAAAAAGAACCCCCGGUUAGGGGGAGUGAAAUAGUACCUGAAACCGUGUGCCUACAAGCAGUGGGAGCGCUAUGGCCGCAAGGCAAUGCGUGACCACGUACCUUUUGCAUAAUGGGCCUGCGAGUUACUGUACGUGGCAAGGUUAAGCCGCGAGGUGAAGCCGAAGCGAAAGCGAGUCCUAACAGGGCGUCGAGUCGCGUGCAGUAGACCCGAAACCUUAGCGAUCUACCCAUGUCCAGGUUGAAAGUAGGGUAACACCUACUGGAGGACCGAACCGGUGCCUGUUGAAAAAGUCUCGGAUGAGCUGUGGAUAGGGGUGAAAGGCCAAUCAAGGCUGGAAAUAGCUGGUUCUCCGCGAAAUCUAUUUAGGUAGAGCCUCGAGUGAAUACCCCAGGGGGUAGAGCACUGGAUGGGCUAGGGG